GGCCAGGAAGAAUCAGGAAUAGGUAUUUGCUGCGUUCCAUUUUGCAUUUCUGUUGGGUUUCCUCGUUGUUUUUUUGUUUUUAAUUGCCCAAACUCCAGAAAUCCCAGUUUACUAAACCAAAUGAGAAACAUGUUUAGGGCAGAGAAAACACUAUUUUUUAAGGUGUGUAUUUGUAUGUGUGUGUGUGUGUAUGCGUGCGUGUGUGUAUGGGUGUAUGGGUGUGUGCGUUUUCUUUAAAAGGAAAGCUGAAGCAGUGUAUAGUCUAAAAGCUGCUGUUUGAUCCAAAACUUUAUUGCUUACUAUGGAGUAAAUUUAAGUUUAAAAAUAAAGUGAGUUGGAUGGAGUUGAUUGUAAAGUAAUUUGGAGCUGCUUAAGUGACGUAGAAUUUGUUUCUUGGAUCAAAAUACUUACUUUACCAGAUUAGCUAAAAUGCAGAGAUAGUUUUGAAGAUCACUUCGAGUUUUUGGUUUGAGGUGGUGGCUUCCCCACCCCCUCCCUCUGUUUACUCCGAUCUCUGGCUCAGGUUAAAGCCUUGGGGAGACCUGCUUGACCGCGUCUGUUUGCUAAGAAGCCCUUACUUUGUUUUACUCUCAGCCUUUCCCCUUCCAGGCUCACUGGUGCCACUGCUCUUCUUGGGGCUGUUUGGGUGAAUCUUGGGGAGAAGCUCUUCUAAUAGGUUACUUUGUUUUACUCUCAGCCAUGUGGAAAUUAAAAAAAAAAAUGUGAAUGAACACUGAGGUCAAUAGAUGAAUUUUCCCCUUUGAAGCCUGUGUCUUUGCACUUUAAGAUACAGUGAGUGAAAGUUGAGGAGAACAGAGUUGACAAAGUCCUUGAAAUUAUGUGCCAAAAUUACUAUAUUCUGAUACCUCCCCCCCUUUUUUUCCUCCAUAGGAACUCUAGGUCCAAAGUAGACAUGAUUUGAAACCACGCAGACGGGAACAAUAUCCCAUGUAAGCCUGCUGAUCUGUGGGCAAUUAUUUCCAGAUGCAGAACCAACUCCACAUUUUUAUGUGUGUUAGAUUUGGGCUCUAGGAGGCAAUUGCCUUUCUGAAAAUUUACAUUGCCUGGUAAAAUAACACAAGGCAGACGUUUCAGAGGCUUAACAGCAAGUUCACAAUAGUAUGGGAGCAGUAGUUAGAAGCCCUGUGUUUGUUUUUUUCCAAGUCUGUAAUUUAGUAGGGUUUAAACUAUUUUACAAAGAUCUCUGGGACCAGUGAAAGGUGGUUUUGAGUCCAGAGCACUUGAGUGCUCGUUGUACUCUGGCAGGCCCUGGUGCUUGGCAGGUUGUGCUUGCAGUGUUACUUGAUCUGGUUGCGUGAUAGAACUACGAGUACUUUUUCCCUUCCCGUGGCUGUUGAAAGUGGUGUAUCAACGAGUACUGUUCACUAACAUGUUUAAAGACUUAACCGACGUUCAUUCACUCUAAGAAGGUUUCCAGCAAAAGGUUGUUUAGGUUUUUGUCUUGUUUUGUGGUUUUGCAUUUAUGAAUUGAGGCGAGAGCUGACGUAAUGUAGCUGUACCACUUCCUUUGUGCGUGUAUUGGUUUUUAUAGCCUAUAGGCUGUGUUCCAGUCUACAUGGUUGUGAUUAUUUCUGAAGCGCUUGGAUGUAUAUAUUCAAGUUUCCUUUUCAAAUGCAGUUACCUUCAGCUAUGUGCCAAUUUAUUUUUCAGAUUGUGGCGGGGGGCGGGGGGGGGGGGGAGCAGCCACGGUGUGACCCCUGCUGGUUUAUCAGUAACGUUCAGUGAAUUGCCCGUGUGGUGUGCAGACUAGCUCUUCAUUUUAAUUAGUGCAACUGGACAGCUGUUAGGUCAGAAUGCAUUGGCUGCUCCUGCAGGGGAGUUUUAUCUUACACUGGAGGUUUUAUGGACUUGUCUGGCUGUGUUUCUUAAUCCUUCUUCCACGGCCACUGUGCUUGCGUUUGAGCAAACGAUAGAACAUGACAAGCUUUUGUUUACUCAUGUAAUAGUUUGCUUAUGAGAGAUUUAUUUUUGGUUUUGAGGAAAUUGCUAAGCUAUGUAAUUUAUUAGUAGGUAUUACUAUGCUUUUCCAAGGUCAAAGGGUUUUGCUUGCUAUUGUGUUAGUCUGAGGAGCCAAUGGGACCAUUCAUUUUAUAAUGACAAGGGAAGCCUCCCCACCCAAAUAAAAAUGGUUCUUUGUUUGCUAUUCUAGGAUUAGUUUGUAAAACUCAGAAAUAAAUGUUAACUCAGGGGAGAUAACGUUGCUAAAAUGUUUCCCUCUGUCUCUUAUCUCUUGUUACACUGUACCAAAGGGACUGAGAGAAGGAGCCGGUGAUUGAGAGCAGUUUGGCCACGGGCUAGAUGAUUAAUCCAAGGAUUUAGAAACGUCUCUGCUGGGGUUGGGGGGAGGGGCGCGGGUGGCUUCCUUUAAAUUUUAAUAUGUGCUUUUGGCUCCAAGUUAUUGGAAAGUAUUUACUGUAAGAUUGAGUAGCUUUGAGUCUUUGAAUAUGGGUCUGUGACAAAGUCAGGCUUGUCAGGGUGUAAAAUAGACUGUGAAUGUGAAUGAGACAUUUUCUUAAUGAUUUGGUCUCCUUACUGUCUGCCUUCUAAGACCGUCCACCACAUUACAAGAAAAAAAGGAGCAAAAGUCAAAACCAAAACUGACUGAAAUCUGUUUAUGCAUAAAGCUAAUGGGAUGCCUUUUUCACUGGCCCUGGUUACUGAUGGAAGAACACACAGGGCUUUAUUGUUGUCAGGGGAUAGUGGGGCGUUGGGGCCUAGACGAGAAGAGGGAAGGGAAGCUGGCUCCUGCUGAGCUAUUUUUUAACUGAUUGGAGAUGUGAGUCCUUCCUAAAAUAACCUGGAAAAAAGAAAGAGUGCAGCAGUUCUAGAAAAAUGCAUCAUUUCAAUGUAACAUCUAUAAAAUGUUUUCUCUCAUUAAAAGAAAGCAAGACGUUUAGAUUGGCAGUAGAGACUGCUGAAUCCAAGGAAAAAUAGAAGGAAGUAUUAAUAAGUAUCCUAGAUCCAAACAGAUUAUUUCAGAAGUUCAUUUGUGUUUUUUUUUUUUUUUUUUAAUUUCUGAGACCAUGUUUUUUUAUUACAAAUAUCAGUGGUGAUUAGAGUCUUAGGCUUACCCUCCUAAAUCUUUUUAAUUCUUGGUAUAGUUGACUGACUUACAUGUUUCUAAUGAAAAAGCAGUAAAGUAAAACAAUAAUGUUAAAAUGUAAUUGCAGGAAGAAUCAGCAUAGCCAUAUUCAGUUUUUAAUGUUGUCACAUGGAGUCUCUGCUGGUAUGAGUAAUCAGUUUAUCCCUUAUAAAUUGGUGGCAAAUAGCUAGAUUGUCUUCUCUAUUCCUUUUUCCUAUCACCCAUCACCGUGAGACCUAGGAUGAAAUACUUACUAGCCUCUUUGUGGGAAAAAGUCUACCUCAGGAGGUGUGUUAGGAAAAUGCUUGGUACCUAAUGACAGCUAAUACUUACUAUAAUAGUGAGCAAUAUUUGUGCUCUAGGCAGUGUUUUAGAUGCUGAAGAUACAAAACAGCUGAAGUCUCUGUGCUCACAGCACUUGUGUUCCAAGGGAGGAAGAUCAAAUUACAAAGAUCAGGAUGGAGUUCCUGCUGUGGCUCUGGUCACUGCAGAGGUGCUGGUUAGAUCCCCUGCCUGGGGCAGUGAGUUGAAGGAACUGGCGUUGCCACAGGUGCUAUGUAGACUGCAGUUUGUAUUCAAUCCCUGGCCCAGGAACUUCAUUUGCUGUGGGUGUGGCCAUUUUUUUUUUUUUUUUUUUUAAAAAGAGCAUGGGAGUUCCCAUCGUGGUGCAGUGGUUAAUGAAUCUGACUAGGAACCAUGAGGUUGCAGGUUCGGUCCCUGCCCUUGCUCAGUGGGUUAACAAUCCGGCGUUGCCAUGAGCUGUGGUGUAGGUUGCAGAUGCAGCUCGGAUCACGCGUUGCUGUGGCUCUGGCGUAGGCCAGCGGCUACAGCUCCGAUUAGACCCCUAGCCUGGGAACCUCUGUAUGCCGUGGGAGCGGCCCAAAGAAAU
RNAcentral lists this long non-coding RNA (3992 nucleotides) under Sus scrofa (pig). Its description in RNAcentral is "lncRNA (ENSSSCG00005015041.1)". Lineage: Eukaryota; Metazoa; Chordata; Mammalia; Artiodactyla; Suidae. The record is from RNAcentral.